CUGGCAUGCUGCAAGGUCCUGCCAGCUCGGAGGCUGGCACCUGGGCAAUGCCCAGCAGUGGGAGCCGAGAGAUAAGCCUGACACUACCCUGAGCCUCCAUAUGCAGAGAUCAGCAGGGAGAACGCUGGACAAGCCUGGAGCACAGGAGAGAGGGACCAGCGGGGAGCCAGAGAAGCAGGAGUGAUAACAUAAACAUUGAAAUUGAGAAGAGGAAAAACUCUGGAGCUCAGGAACAGUAAAUGCUCUGUGCCCAACAAGUCUUCUGUGCCACACGUCAUUUUCAUACUGAGUGUUUGAUAAACACGGGGACACUUUACAGGCCCAGUGUGUGAUGCAGACCUCAAAGUAUGAACUCAUACCGGAAGUACACUUACAAUUAUGUUGAAAAGGAUAAAAUGAGGAACCA
Long non-coding RNA from Fukomys damarensis (Damara mole-rat), 406 nucleotides. RefSeq lists it as uncharacterized. Lineage: Eukaryota; Metazoa; Chordata; Mammalia; Rodentia; Bathyergidae. The record is from RefSeq and is a predicted model, not a curated record. The transcript has 3 exons.